ACCCGUUGAUCCUGCGGGAGAUUGCUGCUAUUGGGAUUCGACUAAGCCAUGCAAGUCCAGGGGACUCUUCGGAGUCACCGGCAUCAUGCUCAGUAACACGUCGAUAAUCUGCCCUAUGGUUCGGGAUACCCUUGGGAAACUGAGGUUAACACCGGAUAUGGGAAAUGGUCUGGAAUGACCUUUCUUUGAAAAGUAAUGCCAUAGGAUGAGUCGGCGGUGGAUUAGGUAGUUGGUGGGGUAAUGGCCCACCAAGCCGAAGAUCCAUAGGGGCCUUGAGAGAGGGAGCCCCGAGAAGGACACUGAAACACUGGUCCUAGCCCUACGGGGUGCAGCAGGCGCGGAACCUCUACAAUGCAGGAAACUGUGAUAGGGGAAUCCCAAGUGCCUAUACUAUGUAUAGGCUUUUGCCAAGGGUAAAAACCUUGGAGAAUAAGUGGUGGGAAAGACUGGUGCCAGCAGCCGCGGUAACCCCAGCGCCACAAGUGGCAAUCACUUUUAUUGGGCCUAAAGCGUCUGUAGCCGGUUCAGUAAAUCUUUUGUGAAAUCGUACGGCCUAACCGAACGGCGUGCAGAAGACACUGCUGAACUUGGAACCGGGAGGAGUCAGAAGUAUGUCGGGGGGAGCGGUAAAAUGCUAUAAUCCUCGAUGGACUACCUGUGGCGAAGGCGUCUGACUAGAACGGAUUUGACGGUGAGGGACGAAAGCUAGGGGAGCGAACCGGAUUAGAUACCCGAGUAGUCCUAGCUGUAAACGCUGCGAGCUAGGUGUUGCACAUUCUCCGAGAAUGUGCAGUGUCGAAGCGAAGGUGAUAAGCUCGCCGCCUGGGAAGUACGGUCGCAAGACUGAAACUUAAAGGAAUUGGCGGGGGAGCACUACAAGGGGUGCGGCGUGCGGUUUAAUCUAAUUCAACGCAGAGAAUCUCACCAGGGGCGACGGCAGGAUGAAAGACAGUCUAAAGGGCUUUCUUGACGAGCCGAGAGGUAGUGCAUGGCCGCCGCCAGCUCGUGCCGUGAGGUGUCCUGUUAAGUCAGGCAACGAGCAAGACCUGUACUUACAAUUGCUAGCAACGCUUAUGCGGAUUGAGCACAUUGUGAGGACUGCCCUGGAAACAGGGAGGAAGGUGCAGGCAACGGUAGGUCUGUAUGCUCCGAAUCUCCUGGGCAACACGCGCGCAACAAUGGUAGGGACAAUGGGAUGCAACUCCGAAAGGAGGAGCUAAACCUCUAAUCCCUAUCUUAGUCCAGAUCGAGGGUUGCAACUCACCCUCGUGACGCUGGAAUCCCUAGUAAUUGGACGUCAACAUCGUCCAGUGAAUUUGUCCCUGCUCCUUGCACACACCGCCCGUCAAACCACUCGAGCAGGGUCUAGGUGAGUCGUAGUUUAAUUGAUUACGCCGAACCUAGGCUCAGUGAGAUGGGUUAAGUCGUCACAAGGUA
Molecule: ribosomal RNA, 1437 nt
Filed under: metagenome
Description: bacterial SSU rRNA
Rfam family: Archaeal small subunit ribosomal RNA
Source: RNAcentral